AAUAGAUACCCAGGUAGUCCACCCCGUAAACGUUGGGAACUAGCUGUGGGGACCAUUCCACGGUUUCCGUGACGCAGCUAACGCAUUAAGUUCCCCGCCUGGGGAGUACGGCCGCAAGGCUAAAACUCAAAGGAAUUGACGGGGACCCGCACAAGCGGCGGAGCAUGCGGAUUAAUUCGAUGCAACGCGAAGAACCUUACCAAGGCUUGACAUAUACGAGAACGGGCCAGAAAUGGUCAACUCUUUGGACACUCGUAAACAGGUGGUGCAUGGUUGUCGUCAGCUCGUGUCGUGAGAUGUUGGGUUAAGUCCCGCAACGAGCGCAACCCUCGUUCUAUGUUGCCAGCACGUAAUGGUGGGAACUCAUGGGAUACUGCCGGGGUCAACUCGGAGGAAGGUGGGGAUGACGUCAAAUCAUCAUGCCCCUUAUGUCUUGGACUUCACGCAUGCUACAAUGGCCGGUACAAAGGGCUGCAAUACCGUAAGGUGGAGCGAAUCCCAAAAAGCCGGUCCCAGUUCGGAUUGAGGUCUGCAACUCGACCUC
This 544-nucleotide ribosomal RNA is filed under the name uncultured bacterium. Its description in RNAcentral is "bacterial SSU rRNA". It matches the Rfam family "Bacterial small subunit ribosomal RNA", at positions 777 to 1319 of the family's 1533-position model. The record is from RNAcentral.